RNAcentral lists this ribosomal RNA (274 nucleotides) under uncultured bacterium. RNAcentral's name for it is "partial 16S ribosomal RNA". It matches the Rfam family "Bacterial small subunit ribosomal RNA", at positions 523 to 796 of the family's 1533-position model. The record is from RNAcentral.
AUCCGGAGGGAGCAAGCGUUGUUCGGAUUUACUGGGCGUAAAGCGCACGUAGGUGGCGCGACAAGUCGGGAGUGAAAUGCUACGGCCCAACCGUAGAGGUGCUUUCGGAACUGUCGUGCUAGAGGAUGAGAGGGGAAGGCGGAAUUCCAGGUGUAGCGGUGAAAUGCACAGAUAUCUGGAGGAACACCGGUGGCGAAGGCGGCCUUCUGGAUCAUACCUGACACUGAGGUGCGAAAGCGUGGGGAGCGAACAGGAUUAGAAACCCUAGUAGUCC